AUGGCCGAAUGCUUCAAUAGGGUGCUCAAAGGUGCACGUGGAUUACCCGUGACGGCAAUAGUUCAAUACACAUUUGACAAGAUGAAUGCGUACUUUGUAAAGUACUCGAUGGAAACCGAUGCACAGAUAGCGGGUGAGAACCCACGGAAGUACAAGUACAAGUUCCCACCCAAAGUUGAUGAAUGGUUGCUAUUUCAAUCACGGAAGGCGGACUCAGAAGAAGCUAUAUUAUAUGACAAUGAGGAGUGGAAGUACGAAGUGAAAGAGUCAGGAGGAACCACAAACGAUGGCCGGCAACAUGGAGGUCGGGCUUUCAAGGUGUCGUUAACACAAUGUGAUUGCACUUGCGGGAGGCCAUUGUUGCUUCAUCUCCCAUGCUCACAUUUGUAUGCCGCCGGCCGCGUUAGGAAUGUGGACAUCAAUCACCCACGCACCGUGAGGGAGUCCCAGUUCUCAAUCAUGACGGUCAAGAAAACAUGGGCUCCCCGCUUUCACCCAUACUUUGACCAAUCACAAUGGCCGGAGUAUCAUGGAGUUCAACUAUGGCCGGAUCCGGAGUUGAAGGUUGUUAAACGGGGUAGACGUAAGACAAAGCGUCUUAGAGGCGACAUGGAUGGAUGGGGCCAUGGUGGGCGCCGCGAAGCGGGCAACGACCAAUUCCAAGAGCCUCGUGAGAGCUCCCGUUGUGGGGAGUGCAAAGGCACCACAACAAAAGAAAAUGUACGAAACCAAGGAAAAGGUCCAAGAAAAAUGAUGCAACCCAACGUCUCCUUGUAUGCAACCCAACGUUGCUCCGAGUUUACACGCAUUGUCUUCCAACGGAUGUGCAUUCCAAAACCAACAUUAUGCCUUCCCUCCAACUCAAUGAUAUCACUAGGGUCCAUCCAAUUCAAAUCUUUCCUAACUUGUUGCAAGAGCUCCGCAUAG
Molecule: ribosomal RNA, 927 nt
Filed under: Triticum aestivum (bread wheat)
Lineage: Eukaryota; Viridiplantae; Streptophyta; Magnoliopsida; Poales; Poaceae
Description: partial small subunit ribosomal RNA
Source: RNAcentral